UACGGGGGAUGCAAGCGUUGUCCGGAAUCAUUGGGCGUAAAGAGUUCGUAGGUGGUUUGUUAAGUUAGGUGUUAAAUGCAGAGGCUCAACUUCUGUUCGGCACUUGAUACUGGCAGACUUGAAUGCGGCAGAGGUAAAGGGAAUUCCUGGUGUAGCGGUGAAAUGCGUAGAUAUCAGGAGGAACAUCGGAGGCGAAAGCGCUUUACUGGACCGUAAUUGACACUGAGGAACGAAAGCCAGGGUAGCAAAU
RNAcentral lists this ribosomal RNA (250 nucleotides) under uncultured prokaryote. Its description in RNAcentral is "partial 16S ribosomal RNA". It matches the Rfam family "Bacterial small subunit ribosomal RNA", at positions 524 to 773 of the family's 1533-position model. The record is from RNAcentral.